Molecule: ribosomal RNA, 258 nt
Filed under: uncultured bacterium
Lineage: Bacteria
Description: partial 16S ribosomal RNA
Rfam family: Bacterial small subunit ribosomal RNA
Source: RNAcentral
UACGUAGGGGGCAAGCGUUGUCCGGAAUCAUUGGGCGUAAAGAGCGCGUAGGCGGCCUCGGUAAGUCCUGCUGUGAAAGUCAGGGGCUCAACCCUUGGAAUGCCGGUGGAUACUGUCGGAGGCUAGAGUGCGGAAGAGGCGAGUGGAAUUCCUGGUGUAGCGGUGAAAUGCGCAGAUAUCAGGAGGAACACCUAUUGCGAAGGCAGCUCGCUGGGACGUAACUGACGCUGAGACGCGAAAGCGUGGGGAGCAAACAGG